Molecule: ribosomal RNA, 380 nt
Filed under: uncultured eukaryote
Lineage: Eukaryota
Description: partial 18S ribosomal RNA
Rfam family: Eukaryotic small subunit ribosomal RNA
Source: RNAcentral
CAAUAGCGUAUAUUAAAGUUGUUGCAGUUAAAAAGCUCGUAGUUGGAUUUGUGGCGUACGGUGUGUUCCGGGCACUUGUUGUCUGAGUAACCUGCUGUUGCCAUCCUUGGGUGGAACCUGUGUGGCAUUAGGUUGUAGUGCAGGGGAUGCCCAUCAUUUACUGUGAAAAAAUUAGAGUGUUCAAAGCAGGCUUAUGCCGUUGAAUAUAUUAGCAUGGAAUAAUGAGAUAGGACUUUUUUGCUAUUUUGUUGGUUUGCGCAAGAAGGUAAUGAUUAAUAGGGACAGUUGGGGGUAUUCGUAUUCCAUUGUCAGAGGUGAAAUUCUUGGAUUUUUGGAAGACGAACUACUGCGAAAGCAUUUACCAAGGAUGUUUUCAUUAA